Molecule: transfer RNA, 73 nt
Filed under: Apogon semilineatus (half-lined cardinal)
Lineage: Eukaryota; Metazoa; Chordata; Actinopteri; Kurtiformes; Apogonidae
Description: tRNA-Lys
Rfam family: tRNA
About the family: Transfer RNA (tRNA) molecules are approximately 80 nucleotides in length. Their secondary structure includes four short double-helical elements and three loops (D, anti-codon, and T loops).
Source: RNAcentral
CGCUGAGAAGCUUAUAGGGACAAGCGUUAGCCUUUUAAGCUAAAGAUAGGUGACUCCCAACCACCCUCAGUGA